GCGGAGAUGGAGCAACAGCGGCUCGGCAGGUUCAUACCCUGCAAAUCAGUAAGUGCAAUUCUUACCUCCGUUACCA
RNAcentral lists this transfer RNA (76 nucleotides) under Microcoleus sp. FACHB-1515. Its description in RNAcentral is "tRNA-Met". Lineage: Bacteria; Bacillati; Cyanobacteriota; Cyanophyceae; Oscillatoriales; Microcoleaceae. The record is from RNAcentral. RNAcentral also lists the same sequence under 1 other name.